GGGGAAUAUUGGACAAUGGACCAAGAGUCUGAUCCAGCAAUUCUGUGUGUUUGAUGAAGGCCUUCGGGUUGUAAAGAACUUUAAGUAGGGAAGAAGAAAGUGACGGUACCUACAGAAUAAGCGACGGCUAAAUACGUGCCAGCAGCCGCGGUAAUACGUAUGUCGCAAGCGUUAUCCGGAAUUAUUGGGCAUAAAGCGCGUCUAGGCGGUUUAUUAAGUCUGAUGUGAAAAUGCGGGGCUCAACUCCGUAUUGCGUUGGAAACUGGUAGACUAGAGUAUUGGAGAGGUAGGCGGAACUACAAGUGUAGAGGUGAAAUUCGUAGAUAUUUGUAGGAAUGCCAAUUGGGAAGCCAGCUUACUGGACAAAUACUGACGCUGAAGCGCGAAAGCUAGGGGAGCAAAC
Molecule: ribosomal RNA, 403 nt
Filed under: uncultured bacterium
Lineage: Bacteria
Description: bacterial SSU rRNA
Rfam family: Bacterial small subunit ribosomal RNA
Source: RNAcentral